Non-coding RNA from Trichonephila inaurata madagascariensis, 71 nucleotides. Lineage: Eukaryota; Metazoa; Arthropoda; Arachnida; Araneae; Nephilidae. The record is from the annotation of a GenBank genome assembly.
GUAGCGCAAUGAAUAGCGCGUUGGACUUCUAAUCCAAAGAUCGUGGGUCUGAAGUCCCACGGGAUGGCCCA